AUUCCAGACUCCUACGGGAGGCAGCAGUGGGGAAUAUUGGGCAAUGGGCGCAAGCCUGACCCAGCAACGCCGCGUGAAGGAAGAAGGCUUUCGGGUUGUAAACUUCUUUUGUCAGGGACGAAGCAAGUGACGGUACCUGACGAAUAAGCCACGGCUAACUACGUGCCAGCAGCCGCGGUAAUACGUAGGGAGCGAGCGUUAUCCGGAAUUAUUUGGUGUAAAGGGUGCGUAGACGGGAAAACAAGUUAGUUGUGAAAUCCCUCGGCUUAACUGAGGAACUGCAACUAAAACUAUUUUUCUUGAGUGCAGGAGAGGUAAGUGGAAUUCCUAGUGUAGCGGUGAAAUGCGUAGAUAUUAGGAGGAACACCAGUGGCGAAGGCGACUUACUGGACUGUAACUGACGUUGAGGCACGAAAGUGUGGGGAGCAAACAGGAUUAGAUACCCCCGUG
Molecule: ribosomal RNA, 450 nt
Filed under: uncultured bacterium
Lineage: Bacteria
Description: bacterial SSU rRNA
Rfam family: Bacterial small subunit ribosomal RNA
Source: RNAcentral